This 374-nucleotide small RNA is filed under the name Pan troglodytes (chimpanzee). RNAcentral describes it as "processed transcript". The record is from RNAcentral. Lineage: Eukaryota; Metazoa; Chordata; Mammalia; Primates; Hominidae.
GUGAUGGUUGGGGCAAGUGGAUUAUUUUCCAGUCCGUUUCUGUGUGCCUUUGGUGGUUUUCAAAAGGGAAAAAGAAAUCGCCAGGAAGCUGGAGUUUGAUGGCCUAUAUAUCACCGAACAGCCAUCUGAAGAUGACAUCAAGGGGCAGUGGGACCGCUUGGUGAUCAACACACCAUCUUUUCCUAAUAACUACUGGGACAAGUUUGUAAAGAGAAAGGUGAUCAACAAGUAUGGAGAUCUCUACGGAGCAGAACGCAUUGCUGAACUUCUGGGUUUGGACAAAAAUGCUCUUGACUUUAGCCCAGUAGAAGAGACCAAAGCAGAAGCGGCUUCUCUGGUGUCAUGGCUAAGUUCCAUAGACAUGAAGUACCAUA